CCCCACCCGCCCGCCAGUAGAACUGAUACGUGGAUAAAAACAAGCCAUCUUUUCAUCACCUUGAGGAAGCUGUCUUCAGAGGGAGCAUCAGGGACCAAGGAACAUCACAGAUGCCAGUGCCGUAUGCUGCAGGCCAAGAAAGCUCAAAGCUUGUUCGUGGGUUGAAAGAGGAAUGGCUUCAUUUGACAUUUUGUUUCCUGUUUAGGUUCCAAGUUCCCUCCCUGGCAUCUCCAAGACAGGGCUGAAAGAGACUCCUGCCUGCAACCUUGGAGAAGCCACAGCCAGUCUGUGUAGACAAUACUGAGCUAGAUGGACCAGUGGUCCAGGGGUGUAGCUAUAACUGAGCUGAUGGGCUCAAAGAACCUGGGGCCCCCAGCUCCUGAGGGCCCCCCAGCUCCACCCCUCCCUAUUUUCUUCAUUUCUUCAGAGUGAGUGAGAUACCCUCACUCUGAGGUGCCACUGGGGAGAGGGGCGAGCAGGGCCCCCCUCUCCCCUAGCUAUGCCCCUGCAAUGGUCUGACUCAGUGUAAGGCAGCUUCCUAUGUUCCUAUGGUCCAGCGAUACACAGGUACACUUUGGACUGAUUUCCACAAUUGUGGCUGCACCUUUUGGAAGUAUUUCAGUGGGUGACAGUAUAUAUGACUAUUUGAAGAACUAUAUAAUGCUAGUUCAUAUGGCCUAUUUCUCCAUACAGUCACAUAAUUGAAUGUAACUUGUAUGAAGAGAAAAUAAACAGACCCUGUCCUACCCUUUUCUAUAUAUGACAGGUAGUAUGUAUGUCAGGAAACGCCUGGGUUGUGGCUGAGAGGCAAACUCUUUAGACAGCUGUCCUGUGUGGCAAGAUGCUGAACUGCCCCACAAGAACAUAGAGUACUCCAGGUUAACCACUGGAUCCUUCUAGAAGGAGGAGGAUAUGAAGACUUCCUGUCUGGGCUUUGCCUCAGUUUCAGGGUCUCCUUGAUCUUGGAUUUUAGUUUUGGCUCUGAAUUUUGGAUUGUCUUCUGUGCCAGGAACACUCCUGGUUCCUGUUUGUCUGCUUGGCUUGACCACUGGCUUUGGCUCUGACUUUUGACAUACCUUCCACUUUGAGUUUCUGUUGUUCAUCAGGCCUUGACCCUUAGCUUCAGUGUUGACUCCUAGCUUGCUUCUUGAUCCCAGUUCCUGGCUCUCUCUCUCUC
Molecule: long non-coding RNA, 1177 nt
Organism: Hemicordylus capensis (graceful crag lizard)
Lineage: Eukaryota; Metazoa; Chordata; Lepidosauria; Squamata; Cordylidae
Exons: 3
Source: RefSeq, a predicted model, not a curated record